UUGUUGUGUGAAGUGAUUUCAUUGAGGAGUGGGUGAAAAUUGGUUUACCAGCAAAAGCAAAGGUGAAAUCACAACAUGGAGAUGCACCUUUUGGAGAGCUAUGCACACAUUGUGAGAAGGUAUGAGAAAAGACAACAAAUUAACCAAGCCAUUAAUUUCAUAAAUAUAUUUUUUAUUUUUUACAAUAUUGAAAGAGUUGUUAGUGAAUGUAUCUAAGAAGUUAAAUUUGGAAUAUGUUGUGUGCAGGAAUCAGUGAAUGUUUCACUUGGAAACCUUCUAACAUACCCAUUUGUGAGAGAGGGUUUGGUGAACAAAACAUUGGCAUUGAAAGGAGGAUACUAUGACUUUGUUAAAGGAUCUUUUGAGCUUUGGGGACUUGAGUUUGGACUUUCUAACACUUUCUCCGUAUGAACAUCAACCAUAUAUCAAUCACCACAUCUCUAAGUAUUCUCCUCCCUAAAAUGUACUAUCAUGUAAUUUAUCCUUCUUAAUUAAUUAUCACCUAAAUUUUCAAAUAACCCUCUUGUUAACUAUUAUAAAAAAUAAGUGAUUUUGGUAUUUUAUAAUUUAUAUAUUAUUUUAAAAAAAAAUUGAAGUUGUUUUGUGUUUGUUUACCGCGAUGAUAUUUCGUUUUAAAGAAUAAUCAGUUAUCAAUAACGAUUUUUAUUAGAAACUAUUAAAAAUAGACUCAUUUAAAAAAAAAAAUUUGAUUUUUUUUUCUUUUAGAUUCUGACUUUUAUUUCAUAGAUAAAUAAGUAAGCAAGCUAGAAGCAAAAUGUAAUUUAUGGUGUUUCACCACUAAAUUUGUGUUGUUUGUUAGGUAAAAGAUGUGGCCACGAUUCUACAUUGGAAGCUAUAAUGUGAAGCUUAGAGGUCCUGUGUCUG
Molecule: long non-coding RNA, 885 nt
Filed under: Cicer arietinum (chickpea)
Lineage: Eukaryota; Viridiplantae; Streptophyta; Magnoliopsida; Fabales; Fabaceae
Description: long non-coding RNA (CARI_LNC000375)
Source: RNAcentral